UACGGAGGGUGCAAGCGAUCUCCGGAAUUACUGGGUUUAAAGGGUGCGUAGGCGGUUAAUUAAGUCAGAGGUGAAAGGUAAUUGCUUAACGAUUGAAUUGCCUUUGAUACUGGUUAACUUGAAAGGAGAUGAGGUUGGCGGAAGGUGAUAUGGAGCGGUGAAAUGCGUAGAUAUAUCAUAGAACACCGAUUGCGAAGGCAGCUGACUAAUCUUACUUUGACGCUGAGGCACGAAAGCGUGGGGAGCGAACAGG
RNAcentral lists this ribosomal RNA (253 nucleotides) under uncultured bacterium. RNAcentral's name for it is "partial 16S ribosomal RNA". It matches the Rfam family "Bacterial small subunit ribosomal RNA", at positions 524 to 776 of the family's 1533-position model. The record is from RNAcentral.